Molecule: long non-coding RNA, 309 nt
Filed under: Vitis vinifera (wine grape)
Lineage: Eukaryota; Viridiplantae; Streptophyta; Magnoliopsida; Vitales; Vitaceae
Description: long non-coding RNA (VVIN_LNC008258)
Source: RNAcentral
GCAUUCCCCUUCCAUGAAGUUCCUAAUGGCAAUGCCUUUUUUUGAGUUGUUUUAGGGCAUCCUCCAUCGUUGAGUUUAUAUAGGGCAACCUCAUCUUUUUUGUUUCUUUAAUGCAUGGACCUUCUUUGAGUUCAUUUAGGGAAUGUGAUUUCAUCGAGUCUUAUUAAGGCAUCUUUUUCCAUUAUUUUGUUUAAGGCGUCCCCCUUCAUUCAGUUAAUUUAUGGCAUUCACCUUCCUAAUCUAUGUUUAGAUCAUCCCAUUUUCUUCAAUGUUAUUAAGGCAUCUCCUCCUACCCAUCCCAUAGUUUCU